RNAcentral lists this transfer RNA (85 nucleotides) under Felis catus (domestic cat). It matches the Rfam family "tRNA". From Rfam's summary of the family: Transfer RNA (tRNA) molecules are approximately 80 nucleotides in length. Their secondary structure includes four short double-helical elements and three loops (D, anti-codon, and T loops). The record is from Rfam by way of RNAcentral. RNAcentral also lists the same sequence under 4 other names. Lineage: Eukaryota; Metazoa; Chordata; Mammalia; Carnivora; Felidae.
GCCUAGGUGGCUCAGUUGGUUGAGCAUCUGACUUGGGCUCAGGUCAUGAUCUCUCAGUUCGUGAGUUCGAGCCCCGCGUUGGGCU